Molecule: unclassified non-coding RNA, 306 nt
Filed under: Mycolicibacterium gadium
Lineage: Bacteria; Bacillati; Actinomycetota; Actinomycetes; Mycobacteriales; Mycobacteriaceae
Description: partial tmRNA
Source: RNAcentral
CGAAUCAAGGGAAGCGUGCCGGUGCAGGCAAGAGACCACCGUAAGCGUCGUUGCAACCAAUUAAGCGCCGAUUCCAAUCAGCGCGACUUCGCACUCGCUGCCUAAGCGACUGUGAGUCUGUCAGCCCGGGAGUGCCCUCGGCCCGGACCCUGGCAUCAGCUAGAGGGACCCACCCACGGGUUCGGUCGCGGAAUCCGUGGGGACAUCAAACAGCGACUGGGAUCGUCAUCCUGACUUGUUCGCGUGAUCGGGAGAUCCGAGUAGAGGCAUAGCGAACUGCGCACGGAGAAGCCUCGAGGGAAUGCC